Molecule: ribosomal RNA, 343 nt
Filed under: bacterium enrichment culture DGGE band TBA-7
Lineage: Bacteria
Description: bacterial SSU rRNA
Rfam family: Bacterial small subunit ribosomal RNA
Source: RNAcentral
GGUACCGUAAGAAUAAGCACCGGCUAACUACGUGCCAGCAGCCGCGGUAAUACGUAGGGUGCAAGCGUUAAUCGGAAUUACUGGGCGUAAAGCGUGCGCAGGCGGUGAUGUAAGACAGUCGUGAAAUCCCCGGGCUCAACCUGGGAAUUGCGAUUGUGACUGCAUCGCUGGAGUGCGGCAGAGGGGGAUGGAAUUCCGCGUGUAGCAGUGAAAUGCGUAGAUAUGCGGAGGAACACCGAUGGCGAAGGCAAUCCCCUGGGCCUGCACUGACGCUCAUGCACGAAAGCGUGGGGAGCAAACAGGAUUAGAUACCCUGGUAGUCCACGCCCUAAACGAUGUCAAC